This is a long non-coding RNA of Cyanistes caeruleus (blue tit), 2655 nucleotides long. RefSeq lists it as uncharacterized. NCBI's taxonomy places the organism in Eukaryota, Metazoa, Chordata, Aves, Passeriformes, Paridae. The record is from RefSeq and is a predicted model, not a curated record.
GUUUCUAGCAACAUUUUCCUUUUCUGUUUAGAGAAGAGAUUUGAUUAUCAAAGAGGAAAAUGUCCUUCAGAUUGUGGGUUGCUGUGGUACAGGCCUAUUCUGUUCUUGGGCUACCAUCAAAAAGUAAAAUUGGCCAGCAAUACCAUACACCACACCAACAAAAAGAAAAAAAAAAGAGGGUCAGGAGAAACACACACUAGCACACACAAGUCCUUGAACUUCCACAGAGAUAUCACGUUACAUUUUGCAGUGUUUCCUAGGAAACCAUUUUAGUGUAAAAGGAACUCUUUGUCUCCUGCUCUUUGUAAAAUUGUUUGAACCACCAUAUCUUGUAAAAGGUUUCUUCACAGACAAUUUAUGCAGCAUUUAAUAAAAGCUCAAUCUGCAGUUUGCUGCACUAUCAGAAGCAAUAUUUCUAUCAACAGUCUGAAUACUUUAGAUUGUAUUUGUUGAGAAUUGAUAAGAUUAUGUAAUAAUUCCCAGAAGUCAGAGAAACAAAAUAUUCUAGUUGUUUUUUUCUUUUUUUUUUCUGACAUGGAGUGCCUUUCUCUAGCAGCAAGGCUGUAUAGGCACAUAAAAAAACACAAAGAAAACCCCCACCAAAAGGGUUCACCAAAAGGCAGAAAUUGCUUUAGGAAGCUCGUAUCAGCACCUUUUUACUGGCAUGUUCGCUGAAGCAGAGGUGGGUUUUGGUUUCUUUCUCUUUGAACAGCGAAGAGGCCUGCACAGGAUUUCCAGCUGCGGCUGCUGAGGGCUGCUGUGCGGCGGUGAGGUGCGGGCCUCCUGCGAGCCCACAUCCAGCAGGCUGGAACAAAGGGCUCCUCUGCCCUGAGCUGUGCCCGUCACUCCCUGCAAGGUGCUGCCCCGAAACAGGACAGGGCCUCAGCUGCUGCUGGGGGGCUGCUGUGCAGAAGAGCCUCUUUGCUCUGCAGCCAGCCCAGUCCAGCUCUGCAGGGAGGGUGGAAGCUCUGAGUACUAGGCCAGAGAAAGAGGGUGCUGCUGUGGGUGCCUGCCCUCUGCUUGGCUGGCCAAGACCACACUGGGGCAAUGUGUUUCCUUCAGCUCCUCUCCUGAUUCUUCCUGCCCUGCAGAAGACUAAGUCUCAGACAACAUCCUCUGAAUCAGGCCUGUGAAGCACAACGGAUUUAUGCCUGCUGAAAGAAAAUAUAUGGUACUCUGUUAUUAACAUGUAAAAUCUGGGGAUUGAAGUCACAUCUGUAUGAUGAUCUAUUUUGGUGGACCACAUGUUCUUAAAUCCCAGCCUUGCUUUUUUAAACUAUUAAGUCUGUCAUAAAUAUUUGACAAUGAACAAGAUUAUAAAAGCAAAAUGCAAAAUAUGAAUAGAGGGAGAGCAAAUGUGUGAUUUAAUUUUUAAUUAAUUACCAGCACCUUACACUAAAGUAAAAGGCAAAAAGUAACAAAUUUCUUCCUCACUGCAACCUGAUCGAAAUGAUCAGUAUUGCAUCUAUUUGUAUUUAUUAAAGGAAAAUGAUGAAUCAUCUAGAAACAAGAGAACCAGGAAACAAGAAACAAGGUAGAACAGUCUGGUUUUAUUACCAUAUGUAAUCAAGAGCUUUUAUUUCCCACCUCUCCUCCUUUUUCUUUUCCUUUCCUGCCUUUUUUUUUUUCCUUUUACAACCGACAUUAAGUUGUGAAUCAUAUGUUAGGGGGAUGUGGAAAUGAAGGGAAACUGGUGACAUCACAAUACUUUACAACUUUACAAAUGAGAGUCUGAAUUUGUUGCAUCUACCAGUGUAUAGCAAGGGUGGAAAGCAAAGGCACACAUAGGUUCAUGAACCCUCAAAACAGAAUGAGGGUGGAAGGGAACUGGGGUUGGGAAAGGAUGAAAACAAAAGACCCACCGAAUACAAAAUGAACAUUUCGAGGUCAACCCAGUAACUGCAGUGUAAGUUGUGAAGGCAGAUCGCUGCACAAGCUGUUUCCAUGAUUUUCCAUCUCCAUGGUUUGGGACAACGUUUUGAGGGAUAAUAUCAAGGGAACUCUGCUUCAGGGGUUGGAGCUUGAUAAAAAGGUGUUAAGUUGGUUCUUUUUUAAAAAAAUUAGCUUGCUACCUACUGUUUUCAAAGGGUUUUCAGUUUGUUUUUAUUAAAACAACAACAUUGCUUUGGAUACAGAUCUAUCUACUCCAGUCUGCAUAGUUCACUACGGGUGAACAAAACUGUUUCAUAGAAGAAGCCAUGAUGAAAUGAAAGAACAUGCAAGCACCCUUGUUACACACUUUGGUGUAGACCAUCCAGACCUUAUAUAUACCAUCUAUAAGCUAGUGGACUUUAAAUCUGUCUUUUCAACCAUUCGGAAACAAAACCAAAACCCUGAAAAACAAAUGGAAGUAUAAAAUUUUAAAAAACAAAUUGAAACAGAAACAACCACCUUACUCAAACAUACUGUUCAGUAGAUAUAUAUAUAUAUAUAUAUAUAUAUAAAAAGCUUAGAAGCGAUCCCCAUCAUUUUUCUACAGUAUGUUGACACAGUUAUUGUAACAGAUUAAAAACACAGCUACGUUUUUGCAUAAACUGAAAGACUGGAAAGGAACUUACACACCUGCGUGCGCACACACACGCACACACCUGUGCGCACGCACACUCCCACACUAGCUACAUGCACAGUCACACAAAAGAAACAAAGGAAAAAAAA